Molecule: transfer RNA, 71 nt
Filed under: Pseudomyrmex dendroicus
Lineage: Eukaryota; Metazoa; Arthropoda; Insecta; Hymenoptera; Formicidae
Description: tRNA-Val
Source: RNAcentral
AAAAUUUUAGUUUAAUUGAAAAUAAUCUACUUACAAUAGAUAGAUUUUUGCUUAAUAGUAAUUAAAUUUUU